GAUGAACGCUGGCGGCGUGCCUAAUACAUGCAAGUCGAGCGAACGGACGAGAAGCUUGCUUCUCUGAGGUUAGCGGCGGACGGGUGAGUAACACGUGGAUAACCUACCUAUAAGACUGGGAUAACUUCGGGAAACCGGAGCUAAUACCGGAUAAUAUUUUGAAUCGCAUGGUUCAAAAGUGAAAGACGGCCUUGCUGUCACUUAUAGAUGGAUCCGCGCUGCAUUAGCUAGUUGGUAAGGUAACGGCUUACCAAGGCAACGAUGCAUAGCCGACCUGAGAGGGUGAUCGGUCAGACUGGAGCUGAGACACGGUCCUGACUCCUACGGGAGGCACCAGCACGGAUUCUUCCGCACUGGGCGCAAACCUGAAGGCGCAACGAGGCGUGAGAGGUGAUGGUCUUCUGAUCGUAACACUGUGUUAUUAGGGAAGAACAUAUGUGUAAGUAACUCUGCCCAUAUUGACGGUACCUCAUCAGAGAGCAACGGCUAACUACUUC
RNAcentral lists this ribosomal RNA (497 nucleotides) under uncultured bacterium. RNAcentral describes it as "partial 16S ribosomal RNA". It matches the Rfam family "Bacterial small subunit ribosomal RNA", at positions 28 to 507 of the family's 1533-position model. The record is from RNAcentral.